RNAcentral lists this ribosomal RNA (914 nucleotides) under uncultured marine archaeon. RNAcentral's name for it is "bacterial SSU rRNA". It matches the Rfam family "Archaeal small subunit ribosomal RNA", at positions 1 to 921 of the family's 1478-position model. The record is from RNAcentral.
UUCCGGUUGAUCCCGCCGGAGGCUACCGCUAUUGGAGUUCGAUUAAGCCAUGCGAGUCGAGAGUCUUAGGGACUCGGCGCACCGCUCAGUAACACGUGGGUAACCUGCCCUAUGCUGGGGGAUAACCUCGGGAAACUGAGAAUAAUACCCCAUAGUUCACCACGCCUGGAACGGUGGGUGGAUGAAAGCUCCGGCGGCAUAGGAUGGGCCUGCGGCGUAUCAGGUUGUAGGGGGUGUAAUGUACCCUCUAGCCAUCUACGCGUACGGGUGUUGGGAGACAUCGCCCGGAGAUGGAUUCUGAGACACGAAUCCAGACCCUACGGGGUGCAGCAGGCGCGAAAACUUGGCAAUGCGAGCAAUCGUGACCAGGGAACUCCAAGUGCAUCGGGUAAGACCGAUGCUUUUCUUGACUCUUCAAAGGUCUUGGAAUAAGGGGUGGGUAAGGACGGUGCCAGCCGCCGCGGUAAUACCGGCGCCUCAAGUGGUAGUCGCUUUUAUUGGGCCUAAAACGUCCGUAGCCGGUUUGGUACAUUCGUGGGUAAAUCAAGGCGCUCAACGUCUUGAAUUCUGCGAGCACGGCCAGACUUGGGACCGGGUGAGGUGUGGGGUACUCUCAGGGUAGGGGUAAAAUCCUGUCAUCCUGAGAGGACCACCUGUUGCGAAGGCGCCACACUAGAACGGAUCCGACGGUCAGGGACGAAGCCUAGGGGCACGAACCGGAUUAGAUACCCGGGUAGUCCUAGGUGUAAACGCUGUGGACUUGAUGUUGGGAGUGCUCCGAGCACCCUCAGUGUCGAAGCGAAGGUGAUAAGUCCACUGCCUGGGGAGUACGGUCGCAAGGCUGAAACUUAAAGGAAUUGGCGGGGGAGCACUGCAACCUGAGGAUUGUGCGGUUUAAUUGGAGUCAACGCCGG